This 444-nucleotide ribosomal RNA is filed under the name uncultured bacterium. RNAcentral describes it as "SSU rRNA". It matches the Rfam family "Bacterial small subunit ribosomal RNA", at positions 26 to 518 of the family's 1533-position model. The record is from RNAcentral.
AGAGCGAACGCUGGCGGCAGGCUUAACACAUGCAAGUCGAACGGAUCCUUCGGGGUUAGUGGCGGACGGGUGAGUAACACGUGGGAACGUGCCUUUUGGUUCGGAACAACUCAGGGAAACUUGAGCUAAUACCGGAUGUGCCCUUCGGGGGAAAGAUUUAUCGCCAUUAGAGCGGCCCGCGUCUGAUUAGCUAGUUGGUGAGGUAAAGGCCCACCAAGGCUACGAUCAGUAGCUGGUCUGAGAGGAUGACCAGCCACAUUGGGACUGAGACACGGCCCAAACUCCUACGGGAGGCAGCAGUGGGGAAUCUUGCGCAAUGGGCGAAAGCCUGACGCAGCCAUGCCACGUGAAUGAUGAAGGUCUUAGGAUUGUAAAAUUCUUUCACCGGGGACAUAAUGACGGUACCCGGAGAAGAAGCCCGGCUAACUUCGCGCCAGCAGCCGC